GACGAACGCUGGCGGCGUGCCUAAUACAUGCAAGUAGAACGCUGAAGAGAGGAGCUUGCUCUUCUUGGAUGAGUUGCGAACGGGUGAGUAACGCGUAGGUAACCUGCCUGGUAGCGGGGGAUAACUAUUGGAAACGAUAGCUAAUACCGCAUAAAAUGGAUUAUCGCAUGAUAAUCGAUUGAAAGGUGCAAAUGCAUCACUACCAGAUGGACCUGCGUUGUAUUAGCUAGUUGGUGGGGUAACGGCUCACCAAGGCGACGAUACAUAGCCGACCUGAGAGGGUGAUCGGCCGCACUGGGACUGAGACACGGCCCAGACUCCUACGGGAGGCAGCAGUAGGGAAUCUUCGGCAAUGGACGGAAGUCUGACCGAGCAACGCCGCGUGAGUGAAGAAGGUUUUCGGAUCGUAAAGCUCUGUUGUAAGAGAAGAACGAGUGUGAGAGNGGAAA
RNAcentral lists this ribosomal RNA (449 nucleotides) under uncultured bacterium. RNAcentral describes it as "bacterial SSU rRNA". It matches the Rfam family "Bacterial small subunit ribosomal RNA", at positions 28 to 464 of the family's 1533-position model. The record is from RNAcentral.